Molecule: long non-coding RNA, 672 nt
Organism: Lagopus leucura (white-tailed ptarmigan)
Lineage: Eukaryota; Metazoa; Chordata; Aves; Galliformes; Phasianidae
Exons: 3
Source: RefSeq, a predicted model, not a curated record
GCAGUUCUUAAUUGUGGCCCGAGUCCCUGUGGGUUUCUUUUCCUCCCACAAAGCUGCUCACCCUGGAGGAGCACAGGCAUGGACACGAGGCCACAGCAGCUCUCCCGUUGUGUCAGACAGCAGAGACAUUGGAGUGGAAGAAGGCCCCACAGAUUUACAGGGGAAAUUGCACAGUCAUUGACUUUCCAUCCAAAAGAUGAAGAGGAGUUUCUUUUGCAGCACCUAUCAUAAUUGUUUGGGUAUUAAGUCUACAGACUGCACUGAAUGUUUGAAAGUAGGCAACCGGUGUAUUUGUAUCAGAUGAAAAGCAGUGGAAAAAAACCCCAAGCCCACAUCAUUCUGAAGAUGGAACCAAGCAUUCCACUUCUGGAAAUGCUACGAGAUGCCUACAGAAAAAGGUCUUCUGGUUCUUAUAGACAGUCUCUUCAAGGCCCCCCACCCCUGAGGAGGGAAAACUCCAGCACGUGGAAAUUGGCCUCAUGUCAUGUAAAUGCAGCUCCUACAGAUCGACAAAGAGCCUCCUCAAAGGACAAAGAAACUACAGUUUGUAAUUCAUUGCCUCUUCAUUUGUGUAAAGUGAUGCCUGUGUCUCUAAUGUUUUUCAGGAGAAAUAUACUUUGCAGGAUAUCAGCUACUAAACAUAUUCACUGUAAUUCUGUCCUUCCCAGUGUU